This 207-nucleotide ribosomal RNA is filed under the name uncultured bacterium. RNAcentral describes it as "partial 16S ribosomal RNA". It matches the Rfam family "Bacterial small subunit ribosomal RNA", at positions 568 to 774 of the family's 1533-position model. The record is from RNAcentral.
CGCGUAGGCGGUCUUGUAAGUCAGAUGUGAAAGCUCUCGGCUUAACCGGGAAAGUGCAUUUGAAACUAUGAGACUUGAGUAUGGGAGAGGGAAGUGGAAUUCCUGGUGUAGAGGUGAAAUUCGUAGAUAUCAGGAGGAACACCGGUGGCGAAGGCGACUUCCUGGACCAAUACUGACGCUGAGGCGCGAAGGCGUGGGGAGCAAACA